UGGGGAAUCUUGCACAAUGGGGGAAACCCUGAUGCAGCGACGCCGCGUGAGCGAUGAAGGUUUUCGAAUCGUAAAGCUCUGUCCUAUGGGAAGAUAAUGACGGUACCAUGGGAGGAAGCCCCGGCUAACUACGUGCCAGCAGCCGCGGUAAUACGUAGGGGGCGAGCGUUGUCCGGAAUUACUGGGCGUAAAGGGUUCGCAGGCGGCAUGGCAAGUCCGAUGUAAAAGGCGAAGGCUCAACCUUCGUAAGCAUCGGAAACUGUCAAGCUUGAGUGAAGGAGAGGCAAGUGGAAUUCCUAGUGUAGCGGUGGAAUGCGUAGAUAUUAGGAGGAAUACCGGGGGCGAAGGCGACUUGCUGGACUUCAACUGACGCUGAGGAACGAAAGCGUGGGUAGCAAACAGG
This 403-nucleotide ribosomal RNA is filed under the name Fusobacteriota bacterium. RNAcentral's name for it is "Fusobacteria bacterium partial 16S ribosomal RNA". It matches the Rfam family "Bacterial small subunit ribosomal RNA", at positions 355 to 776 of the family's 1533-position model. The record is from RNAcentral. Lineage: Bacteria; Fusobacteriati; Fusobacteriota.